Molecule: ribosomal RNA, 301 nt
Filed under: uncultured bacterium
Lineage: Bacteria
Description: partial 16S ribosomal RNA
Rfam family: Bacterial small subunit ribosomal RNA
Source: RNAcentral
CAGCCGCCGCGGUAAUACAGAGGGUGCAAGCGUUAAUCGGAUUUACUGGGCGUAAAGCGUGCGUAGGUGGCUGUUUAAGUCGGAUGUGAAAGCCCUGGGCUUAACCUGGGAACUGCAUUCGAUACUGGAUAGCUAGAGAUCGGUAGAGGGCAGCGGAAUUCCGGGUGUAGCGGUGAAAUGCGUAGAUAUCCGGAGGAACACCGAUGGCGAAGGCAACUGCCUGGGCCUGAUCUGACACUGAGGCACGAAAGCGUGGGUAGCAAACAGGAUUAGAUACCCGCGUAGUCCCUGUCUCUUAUAC